Non-coding RNA from Aedes aegypti (yellow fever mosquito), 104 nucleotides. NCBI's taxonomy places the organism in Eukaryota, Metazoa, Arthropoda, Insecta, Diptera, Culicidae. The record is from Rfam.
CUACCGGCGUCGUGAGGCGGCGGGAUGCGUGAUCAGAAGUCAGCAGAGGGCAUAGUAGUUGGUGGCGAAGGUGGUGAGCCGAUGAGAACCCGCCAGCGAAGGCC